RNAcentral lists this ribosomal RNA (496 nucleotides) under uncultured bacterium. RNAcentral describes it as "bacterial SSU rRNA". It matches the Rfam family "Bacterial small subunit ribosomal RNA", at positions 30 to 524 of the family's 1533-position model. The record is from RNAcentral.
AUUGAACGCUGGCGGUAUGCUUAACACAUGCAAGUCGAACGGUAACAGGCCUUCGGGCGCUGACGAGUGGCGGACGGUGAGUAACGCGUAGGAAUCUGCCUCAUAGUGGGGGACAACGUGGGGAAACUCACGCUAAUACCGCAUACGCCCUACGGGGGAAGCGGGGGAUCUUCGGACCUCGCGCUAUGAGAUGAGCCUGCGUUAGAUUAGCUAGUUGGUAGGGUAAAGGCCUACCAAGGCGACGAUCUAUAGCUGGUCUGAGAGGACGAUCAGCCACACUGGGACUGAGACACGGCCCAGACUCCUACGGGAGGCAGCAGUGGGGAAUAUUGGACAAUGGGCGCAAGCCUGAUCCAGCAAUACCGCGUGUGUGAAGAAGGCCUUAGGGUUGUAAAGCACUUUCAAUUGGGAGGAAAACCUGCCGGUCAAUACCCGGUAGCUUGACAUUACCUUUAAGAAGAAGCACGGCUAACUCCGUGCCAGCAGCCGCGGUAAU